RNAcentral lists this ribosomal RNA (773 nucleotides) under Aporcella dubia. RNAcentral's name for it is "partial large subunit ribosomal RNA". It matches the Rfam family "Eukaryotic large subunit ribosomal RNA", at positions 360 to 941 of the family's 3401-position model. The record is from RNAcentral. Lineage: Eukaryota; Metazoa; Nematoda; Enoplea; Dorylaimida; Aporcelaimidae.
AAAGUUGAAAAGAACUUUGAAGAGAGAGUUCAAAAGGGCGUGAAACCGCUUAGAAUAAAACGGACGGAGCCGUCAGGAGCCCUCGGGAAUCAGUCGUACGAUUCGCGAAAGUGCCGCAUUCUGGAACGUAAGUCUAGACGCGGUCCUAUUAGUAGUGGUCGAAUGGCGCAUUUCUCGAGGGUAAGCACUGCGACCGAUAUGAAAGGCUGACGAAGCGAUUGGAUUGUGGGCGAGUCCUUCGGGAAUUUGUACCAGUCCUUUUGCCUGAGUCGUCAGACCGCAGUAUGUAUCGAGUGCCUAGAUAUAUAUGCCGGCGUAAAUCGCUCGCCUAAGUAAUGGAUAGUCGAUUAACUAGCUGGUACCUGCUUGCAGGGACUGGUGAACUUGGUUGGCUUAGAAAUUACUGGUGACUUACCGGUGUAUUGGCGUCAGCAGUGUCAGUGUCGGCCACCCAUCCGACCCGUCUUGAAACACGGACCAAGGAGUCUAACAUAUGCGCGAGCUAAUGGGUGGAAAACCCAGAAGCGCAAUAAAAGUAAACGCUGUUUCGGACAGCCAAGAUACUAUUCUAGAUUCUGUCUAGACGCAGUAUCGUCCCGUCUCGACUGCAUGUCGGUAGGGCGGAGAAAGAGUGCAUACGUUGGGACCCGAAAGAUGGUGAACUAUGCCUGAGCAGAGCGAAGCCAGAGGAAACUCUGGUGGAGGUUCGUAGCGGUUCUGACGUGCAAAUCGAUCGUCAGACUUGGGUAUAGGGGCGAAAGACUAAUCGAACC